GGGCGCUUAGCUCAGUUGGCUAGAGCGACUGGUUUACACCCAGUAGGUCAUAGGUUCGACCCCUAUAGCGCCCACCA
Molecule: transfer RNA, 77 nt
Filed under: Candidatus Peregrinibacteria bacterium RIFOXYA2_FULL_41_18
Lineage: Bacteria; Candidatus Peregrinibacteriota
Also listed under: 4 other names
Description: tRNA-Val
Rfam family: tRNA
About the family: Transfer RNA (tRNA) molecules are approximately 80 nucleotides in length. Their secondary structure includes four short double-helical elements and three loops (D, anti-codon, and T loops).
Source: RNAcentral